Molecule: ribosomal RNA, 501 nt
Filed under: uncultured bacterium
Lineage: Bacteria
Description: partial 16S ribosomal RNA
Rfam family: Bacterial small subunit ribosomal RNA
Source: RNAcentral
AUUGAACGCUGGCGGCAGGCUUAACACAUGCAAGUCGAGCGGGGGAAGGUAGCUUGCUACCGGACCUAGCGGCGGACGGGUGAGUAAUGCUUAGGAAUCUGCCUAUUAGUGGGGGACAACAUCUCUAAAGGGAUGCUAAUACCGCAUACGUCCUACGGGAGAAAGCAGGGGAUCGUCGGACCUUGCGCUACUAGAUGAGCCUAAGUCGGAUUAGCUAGUUGGUGGGGUAAAGGCCUACCAAGGCGACGAUCUGUAGCGGGUCUGGGAGGAUGAUCCGCCACGCUGGGACUGGGACACGGCCCAGACUCCUACGGGAGGCAGCAGUGGGGAAUAUUGGACAAUGGGGGGAACCCUGAUCCAGCCAUGCCGCGUGUGUGAAGAAGGCCUUAUGGUUGUAAAGCACUUUAAGCGAGGAGGAGGCUACUCUAGUUAAUACCUAGGGAUAGUGGACGUUACUCGCAGAAUAAGCACCGGCUAACUCUGUGCCAGCCGCCGCCGUAA